Molecule: ribosomal RNA, 247 nt
Filed under: uncultured bacterium
Lineage: Bacteria
Description: partial 16S ribosomal RNA
Rfam family: Bacterial small subunit ribosomal RNA
Source: RNAcentral
AUACGUAGGUGGCAAGCGUUAUCCGGAUUUACUGGGCGUAAAGGGAGCGUAGGCGGAUAUUUAAGUGGGAUGUGAAAUACCCGAGCUUAACUUGGGAGCUGCAUUCCAAACUGGAUAUCUAGAGUGCAGGAGAGGAGAAUGGAAUUCCUAGUGUAGCGGUGAAAUGCGUAGAGAUUAGGAAGAACACCAGUGGCGAAGGCGGCUUUCUGGACUGUAACUGACACUGAGGCUCGAAAGCGUGGGGAGC